ACGAACGCUGGCGGCAGGCUUAACACCUGCAAGUCGAGCGAGACCUUCGGGUCUAGCGGCGGACGGGUGAGUAACGCGUGGGAACGUGCCCUUCUCUACGGAAUAGCCCCGGGAAACUGGGAGUAAUACCGUAUACGCCCUUUGGGGGAAAGAUUUAUCGGAGAAGGAUCGGCCCGCGUUGGAUUAGGUAGUUGGUGGGGUAAUGGCCCACCAAGCCGACGAUCCAUAGCUGGUUUGAGAGGAUGAUCAGCCACACUGGGACUGAGACACGGCCCAGACUCCUACGGGAGGCAGCAGUGGGGAAUCUUAGACAAUGGGGGCAACCCUGAUCGAGCCAUGCCGCGUGAGUGAUGAAGGCCUUAGGGUUGUAAAGCUCUUUCAGCUGGGAAGAUAAUGACGGUACCAGCAGAAGAAGCCCCGGCUAACUCCGUG
This 432-nucleotide ribosomal RNA is filed under the name uncultured bacterium. RNAcentral describes it as "partial 16S ribosomal RNA". It matches the Rfam family "Bacterial small subunit ribosomal RNA", at positions 29 to 507 of the family's 1533-position model. The record is from RNAcentral.